UGUCUCCUCCACCGCCUCCAUGGUGGAUUCAGCCCAAGGCCCCCAAGGCCUUGGGCUUUUUUUC
Molecule: small RNA, 64 nt
Organism: Roseateles depolymerans
Lineage: Bacteria; Pseudomonadati; Pseudomonadota; Betaproteobacteria; Burkholderiales; Sphaerotilaceae
Rfam family: Betaproteobacteria toxic small RNA
About the family: Overexpression in amino aid rich medium attenuates growth, suggesting role in repressing amino acid intake and metabolism.
Source: Rfam